UACCCUUGCCCUGGCACUCUGCAGGUUCUAAACAUAGAGCUCGACAAGGGGGAAGAUAUCCUGGCCCAGCCCAGCCUAGCCCAGCUCAGCGUGUCCUUUCAGUGUUUACAAGAAUUUUGUCUUUUUGUCACGAUGUCCCUUCACUGAGUUGAAGUAUUCCCAGCCCUUAAAUGUUUUCAGAGAUUGGCUAGGAACAGUCAGUGGAAUGCUAUCAAAACCACAUUGUUUCUCAUUUCUGGACUUGAAAUCACCAGCAUUCGGAAUGCAUUAUCCUACAAUAUGAACAGAUUCUCUGUAAUGUGGGGAGUCAUCUUUGUAACCUGGGAUCCACUGCCACGAGCUGAGUUUGGGGCCCUGUCCAGCAGGAGGAAUGUUUAGAAGCCGAGGGAGAUCUUGUUCCUGUCUCCAGAACCCAUGCAAGUGGACUGAAGAGAAACUGUAGAAAGUGGAGUGCGUGCGCAAGUGUUUGUUAUAUUAAUUAAACUUCCCUGAGCCUUGACUUGCCAAUUUGUGAAGUGAAAAGAAGUUUUCUCUCUGCACAUCUAUGUACUUCUAUGGAGUUAUUUACUAUAAAGUACUAGAGCUUCUGUGGAAAAAGGAGGGGCACAAAUUCCAGCCCUUGGUGUGAUCAGUG
This 634-nucleotide long non-coding RNA is filed under the name Cavia porcellus (domestic guinea pig). RNAcentral describes it as "lncRNA (ENSCPOG00000038496.1)". Lineage: Eukaryota; Metazoa; Chordata; Mammalia; Rodentia; Caviidae. The record is from RNAcentral.